Pyrus x bretschneideri (Chinese white pear) is the source of this 954-nucleotide long non-coding RNA. RefSeq lists it as uncharacterized. Lineage: Eukaryota; Viridiplantae; Streptophyta; Magnoliopsida; Rosales; Rosaceae. The record is from RefSeq and is a predicted model, not a curated record. The transcript is spliced from 3 exons.
GACACGCCCUGACUGAAUGCCUCGCUAGCCAUUCUUAGCAAGAGCCCUCAAUUUCGAGCGGACUCUUAGUCCCUCUCUCGUAGCUGAUCCAUCCGUCUUCUUCUCCUUCACACCUUCGCCAUCUCCCAUCUCCUUCACGACUUUGCUGUUUCAUCUGAGUUUGAGCAGGACGAGAGGUUCUCAGCAAUAAUGGAAAGGCCUCCCCUAACCUCAAACUCUUCAUGGGUAACCUUCCCUUCAGCAUUGAUAGCGCUCAGCUCACUGGUAUCUUUGAGAGCACUGGAAAUGUCCAAAUGGUCGAGGUGAUAUAUGAUAAGACGACCGGAAGAAGUAGAGGAUUUGGGUUUGUGACUAUGUCAAGUGUUAGCUGAAUCUGCUACUCACCAGCUAAACGGCUAUUUUGAGCUUCCACCUGGGGUGGAGUCUGCUUUACUACAAGAAAUUUUGAACAUAACACAUGAAAAACCUGAGUUCAUUGUCUCUGGAACAACAACAAGAAGUAAUAAAGCUCCAACAGAUGCUUCGGUGAGAUCAGAUUCAGCCAUUGUAGCAGAGUCAUAAAUGGCAGUUUUGAUGCAACAAGUUGUUAUAUGUGCAAGCACCAACUUGCUUGCUAGAGCAACAAAAGGCGUAGUAUUGAUUCAAUCGAUUUUGAUUAUUUGUAACAGUAUGUUUACGUAAAUAGUUGAUUCAGAGGAUCUACAGUGCAGGAGUACUAUCGUAUACGUGCUCGAAUCCAAAUGUAGCAAUGAUCAAGGCUCGGCUGUCCAUUUGCCAUUGCACCUCACACAUCAUUGUAGUCUUGAAAUUGAAUGCAAUCAAAUCAAAAGUGAAUAAUUAAGAAAAGCAUUCUAAACCCUGUCAAUUGUUAGGAAAACACCUUUGCUAUAUUGAUGUUUGGAGCAAUACUAGAAUCAUGUAUGUUUCUUUUGUUGGUAAGAAAUUUGGUUUUUA